RNAcentral lists this long non-coding RNA (294 nucleotides) under Vigna radiata. RNAcentral's name for it is "long non-coding RNA (VRAD_LNC004782)". The record is from RNAcentral. Lineage: Eukaryota; Viridiplantae; Streptophyta; Magnoliopsida; Fabales; Fabaceae.
CCUAUUGUUCUCAACACAAAAGUCAGCAGGAGAAUCAUAAUCAGAGUAACAAGUAGGAGAAACAGUAUCCACAUAACCAAAAUAGGUAGACAUGGGAAAGAAGGGGAAAGAAGAAUGCAAUGAAAAUAUGCAACUACAGCUACCUAAAUGCAACACACAAUGACGAACACAUAAAAUAGAACAUCACACUCACAACACAAGAUAAAACACCAACAGACACUAAGACAGAAAAGACCUAAAACCGAACCGUUGGUCCCCGGCAACGGCGCCAAAAUUUUGAUGGGUGUCGCACCC